GGGAGUGGAUGGGGUCUGGUGGCCCCCCGGGACUUCAAAUCCUUGUGUCGGGCGCGUACAACCGUCCGAGGUGGGUUCGAUUCCCACACAUUCCCGCCA
Molecule: transfer RNA, 99 nt
Filed under: bacterium
Lineage: Bacteria
Description: tRNA-Sec
Rfam family: Selenocysteine transfer RNA
Source: RNAcentral